This 570-nucleotide long non-coding RNA is filed under the name Homo sapiens (human). RNAcentral describes it as "non-protein coding lnc-YIPF6-1:1". Lineage: Eukaryota; Metazoa; Chordata; Mammalia; Primates; Hominidae. The record is from RNAcentral.
GCGAACCAGGCGACGCUGAAGCGGCCCAUGGACUUCGGUACAAAGCUGCUGAGUCCCUGCUUCCCCGAAGCAGCCGUGCUGCACCCCUCUGCCCAGCCCCACUCCGGGCCUCAGGCCCCCGGACGCCAAGCCGCCGCCGCUUCAGACGCAGACCCUACCGCCAACUCUGCAGCAGUCCGCCCCACUCGGCAGCAAGCGGCGCCUUACAAUUCCGGAGAAAAUUUUUCAGAACAUAAAACUAGAAUACAGUCGUUAUCAGAGGUGGAGACAUUUAGAAAUUGUUCUUAAUCAGAGUGAAGCUUGUGCUUCAGAAAGUCAACCUCACUCCUCAGCACUCAUAGCACCUAGCUCUCCAGGUUCCUCAUGGAUGAAGAAGGACCAGCCCACAUUUACCCUCUGACAAAUCGGAAUAAUACGUGAGUGUGUCUUAGACUAUGAAGACAAGAUUCAGGAGGAGUAUGAGCAAAUCCUCAAUACCAAACUAGCAGAACAAUAUGAAUGAAUCUUUUGUGAAAUUCACACAUGAUCAGAUUAUGCAACGGUAUGGGACAAGGCCAACAAGCCAUGUGU